GACGAACGCUGGCGGCGUGCCUAAUACAUGCAAGUUGAGCGCUGAAGGUUGGUACUUGUACCAACUGGAUGAGCAGCGAACGGGUGAGUAACGCGUGGGGAAUCUGCCUUUGAGCGGGGGACAACAUUUGGAAACGAAUGCUAAUACCGCAUAAAAACUUUAAACACAAGUUUUAAGUUUGAAAGAUGCAAUUGCAUCACUCAAAGAUGAUCCCGCGUUGUAUUAGCUAGUUGGUGAGGUAAAGGCUCACCAAGGCGAUGAUACAUAGCCGACCUGAGAGGGUGAUCGGCCACAUUGGGACUGAGACACGGCCCAAACUCCUACGGGAGGCAGCAGUAGGGAAUCUUCGGCAAUAGACGAAAGUCUGACCGAGCAACGCCGCGUGAGUGAAGAAGGUUUUCGGAUCGUAAAACUCUGUUGGUAGAGAAGAACGUUGGUGAGAGUGGAAAGCUCAUCAAGUGACGGUAACUACCCAGAAAGGGACGGCUAACUACGUG
This 497-nucleotide ribosomal RNA is filed under the name uncultured bacterium. RNAcentral describes it as "partial 16S ribosomal RNA". It matches the Rfam family "Bacterial small subunit ribosomal RNA", at positions 28 to 507 of the family's 1533-position model. The record is from RNAcentral.